Molecule: unclassified non-coding RNA, 375 nt
Filed under: Hevea brasiliensis (rubber tree)
Lineage: Eukaryota; Viridiplantae; Streptophyta; Magnoliopsida; Malpighiales; Euphorbiaceae
Source: RNAcentral
CUUGGAUCUGCUCAGAACGUCAGAUCAAUUACUAAGGAGCACCUUAAGAGCUAUAUUUCAACUCACUAUACAGCUCCCAGAAUGGUUAUUUCUGCUGCUGGUGCUGUUAAGCACGAGGAAAUAGUUGAACAGGUUAAAAAGCUAUUUACAAAGCUUUCUGAUGACCCUACCACAGUUUCUCAGUUGGUUGCGAAAGAGCCAGCUAGUUUUACUGGUUCUGAGGUCAGGAUUAUAGAUGAUGAUGUCCCACUCGCACAAUUUGCCGUUGCAUUCAACGGAGCCUCCUGGACAGAUCCCGAUUCCAUUCCUUUGAUGGUUAUGCAGAGUAUACUGGGUUCUUGGAAUAAGAAUUCUGGUGGAGGAAAGCACAUGGGG